Long non-coding RNA from Oncorhynchus tshawytscha (Chinook salmon), 595 nucleotides. The record is from Ensembl. NCBI's taxonomy places the organism in Eukaryota, Metazoa, Chordata, Actinopteri, Salmoniformes, Salmonidae.
AGAGAAGGUAAGGGGACAGAGAGAAGAGAAGGUAAGGGGACAGAGAGAAGAGAAGGUAAGGGGACAGAGAGAAGAGAAGGUAGGGGACAGAGAGAAGAGAAGGUAAGGGACAGAGAGAAGGUAGGGGACAGAGAGAAGGUAGGGGACAGAGAGAAGAGAAGGUAGGGGACAGAGGGAAGAGAAGGUAAGGGGACAGAGAGAAGAGAAGGUAGGGGACAGAGGGAAGAGAAGGUACGGGACAGAGGGAAGAGAAGGUAAGGGGAUAGAGGGAAGAGAAGGUAAGGGGACAGAGAGAAGAGAAGGUAGAAGACAGAGAGAAGAGAAGGUAGACACCUAGCGGUACCAGGAGCAGGACAGAUAUUGGAGUAUGAGUGUGACUGCAAUGGAGACGGUCUGCAUUGAGGACAGGGCUGGAGACAGUCUGCUCUGAGGACAGCUCUGAGGACAGGACUGGAGACCGUCUGCUCUGAGGACAGGACUGGAGACAGUCUGCUCUGAGGACAGGGCUGGAGACAGUCUGCUCUGAGGACAGGGCUGGAGACAGUCUGCUCUGAGGACAGGGCUGGAGACAGUCUGCUCUGAGGACAGGACUGGA